GUUGAUGAAGGCGUUCUGGAGCAGGACCAGAAAGACCACGACCAAGCAGCCUUGAGAUCUUAGGCAGCGUCUCCCUCAGGUCCCUCUCUAUCUCCCCACACAUCCACCAACCACUGGAACACAUCUCCAAAGUUCUGCUGGACCAGCUCAGCUUCCCCUCAGAAGAAGUGCUGCCACCUGCCAGAUGAAGGAGCCUUUUGAGAGGCAGCUGGCAUCGUGAUUGGACUGUACUUUGGUCUGUUCCAAUCCAGCUUCAGCUCCAGAGACGGCAGGCGGGACGAGUCAACGGAGGCCUGGUGGACGAAGGCAUGCAGCUGAGUACAAUCCAGAAAACAACAGAGGAGGAGUGCAGCAGCCCAGUAUAGCCUUCGACCAAAGAACUACAGACUCUUCACAACCUGCUCAAACUCUUGGUACAGGACCUCACCACACGGGUCAAGAAGGUUGCUUUGUAGAACUGUUCCAGAAAACCUCACUAAACCACAUGGAGGGGCCUCAAGAUAGUCAUCCAAAUGAAACCAUACAAAAACCAAACUAGCACAACCUAAACACUAAAGUCUCCUGCAGCCUACCAGAGAACCUCUGAGAACAGAGAAUCAGGACAGGAACUCUUACCUUCUGGACAACCAACGUUGGUUCACCAACAAGAAUACAGAAUGUGUCUGACCAAAAACCUCUGAAGACUCACUACAGCCAAGAUAAAGACACAACUCACCUGCACCAAAUCCACUAAUCAUUGCACACAUUAACACCAUGUGCUAACUGUGGCUAAAGAACCACAUUUACCAAGACAACUAUCCAGUACAAAGCCCUAAAACACACCAAGAAACACAUUAAAGAUGAUUUUACUGCUGGAAGCUGCAAGCCAACGCCUAAAGAACAAACUAAAGCAAUGGAGCCAAACCCGGUUUAGUGGUGAAGAGAAGCAGAAGAAAUGUUUGUCUGCAGCUAAAUAAAGCAGGAAGACACCGAGCUGCUCAGGUGUUCCUGAUAACACCAAGCAGCCACCUGGACAGCCAAUAGGAACACAGCUUCCUGGAAGUUUUGCACAGACAAUUUGCACAGACAUUCUUGCACUGC
This is a long non-coding RNA of Amphiprion ocellaris (clown anemonefish), 1080 nucleotides long. Lineage: Eukaryota; Metazoa; Chordata; Actinopteri; Pomacentridae. The record is from Ensembl.